AGACGUCUACGAGUUUGAUCCUGGCUUAGAACGAACGCUGGCGGCAGGCCUAACACAUGCAAGUCGAGCGAACCCUUCGGGGUUAGCGGCGGACGGGUUAGUAACGCGUGGGAAUAUACCCUUUGGUACGGAAUAGCCUCGGGAAACUGAGAGUAAUACCGUAUGUGCCCUUCGGGGGAAAGAUUUAUCGCCAAAGGAUUAGCCCGCGUUGGAUUAGGUAGUUGGUGGGGUAAUGGCCUACCAAGCCUACGAUCCAUAGCUGGUUUGAGAGGAUGAUCAGCAACACUGGGACUGAGACACGGCCCAGACUCCUACGGGAGGCAGCAGUGGGGAAUCUUAGACAAUGGGCGCAAGCCUGAUCUAGCCAUGCCGCGUGGACGAUGAAGGCCUUAGGGUUGUAAAGUCCUUUCAGAUGGGAAGAUAAUGACGGUACCAUCAGAAGAAGCCCCGGCUAACUCCGUG
This 462-nucleotide ribosomal RNA is filed under the name uncultured bacterium. RNAcentral describes it as "bacterial SSU rRNA". It matches the Rfam family "Bacterial small subunit ribosomal RNA", at positions 1 to 507 of the family's 1533-position model. The record is from RNAcentral.